RNAcentral lists this ribosomal RNA (631 nucleotides) under Lactobacillus sp. TSK G32-2. RNAcentral's name for it is "bacterial SSU rRNA". It matches the Rfam family "Bacterial small subunit ribosomal RNA", at positions 41 to 641 of the family's 1533-position model. Lineage: Bacteria; Bacillati; Bacillota; Bacilli; Lactobacillales; Lactobacillaceae. The record is from RNAcentral.
GGCGUGCUUAAUACAUGCAAGUCGAACGAAGCUUUCUUUCACCGAAUGCUUGCAUUCACCGAAAGAAGCUUAGUGGCGAACGGGUGAGUAACACGUAGGCAACCUGCCCAAAAGAGGGGGAUAACACUUGGAAACAGGUGCUAAUACCGCAUAACCAUGAACACCGCAUGAUGUUCAUGUAAAAGACGGCUUUUGCUGUCACUUUUGGAUGGGCCUGCGGCGUAUUAACUUGUUGGUGGGGUAACGGCCUACCAAGGUGAUGAUACGUAGCCGAACUGAGAGGUUGAUCGGCCACAUUGGGACUGAGACACGGCCCAAACUCCUACGGGAGGCAGCAGUAGGGAAUCUUCCACAAUGGACGAAAGUCUGAUGGAGCAACGCCGCGUGAAUGAAGAAGGCCUUCGGGUCGUAAAAUUCUGUUGUCAGAGAAGAACGUGCGUGAGAGUAACUGUUCACGUAUUGACGGUAUCUGACCAGAAAGCCACGGCUAACUACGUGCCAGCAGCCGCGGUAAUACGUAGGUGGCGAGCGUUGUCCGGAUUUAUUGGGCGUAAAGGGAACGCAGGCGGUCUUUUAAGUCUGAUGUGAAAGCUUCGGCUUAACCGAAGUAGUGCAUUGGAAACUGGAAGAC